GUAAGUCCAUGGAGCGAUAGGGCUAAAACUUUUUAUCAUUAUUUUAGUUUUUUCUACAACUCAACCAUAUCUACAAAACUCAGAAACCUCUUAACGAAAACAUCAAGUUCUUUGUUGAGAGCGUUUAUUCACUGAUGUACCCAGCUGAUGUACGCUUAGUUCAAACACUAAUAGCCAAACUAUUCAGGAUCCUGAACAACAACUUUAAGCAACCCUGGAUGCCAGCAACGCAGCCUCAAACAACAUCAGAGGCAAACUAUACAUCAGUACACCCACGCUUCCCAAUGCGCUGUAGACACAGCAGAAGAGAGAAAAAAAGAUCCAAACCAUAUCACCGUAAAGCAAAACCAACAGCCGAACACCUCAGCAAAGACACCACAGGCUUUUGGAACACCUGCAGUCAACAAACCACAGAAACUUGGAACAACAGCCCAAAACCCAAUUGGUGCCCAACAUCCAAGCCAUUUGUUGACAGGAGUAAACGGAAAAACAGGAGUCGCGGCUGUGGCUACCAACCAUACAAUGUAGAUAAAAAAAAUGGGUAAAAACUUAAUUACGAUGAUAAUUUAAUAAUUUUACACUUCUAAUAUUUUAUAGAAUCAAAAUAAUCUAAAUAUAUGUAUG
Molecule: long non-coding RNA, 624 nt
Organism: Dendronephthya gigantea
Lineage: Eukaryota; Metazoa; Cnidaria; Anthozoa; Malacalcyonacea; Nephtheidae
Exons: 4
Source: RefSeq, a predicted model, not a curated record